AGUAAGUUAGAGGCUUUUAUUUAGACAUUGUUUUUGUCACUCCCCGAGGUUACUCCCGUGACAUAACGCGGGACCUAGAAUCACGAGUAACCUCAAGCUAACCUUGAGUUGUCAUAUCAUAAGCAUAUUAGAUCAACACCUUAAAAAACCUUUACAAGCAUAAACCUAAGAAAUUUUAAACCCCUAAGAAACCCUAAACCCUAAGAAACACUAAACCCUCAGAAAUCAUAAACGCUAAAUCCUAUACCCUAAGAAACUCUAAAUCCUUAACUCUAAACCAUAGGUCUAAACCCUAAACCUCAAACCAUAUGAAACACUAAGAAAUCCUAAACCCUAAGAAAACCUAGUUCCUAAAAUCCAUUAAAACCCCUAAUACUAUAAUACUCGGGGAAAAAAAUAAAUCCCUUUAAAACCCUAAGCCUUAAAAAAAUCCUAUGCCCUAAUUCCUACGUAACCCUAAAUCUUAAGAAAUCCAAAUUCUUUAAAAGCCCUGAGAAACCCUAAAACAUUUAAAACCCUAAUCAUAAAAAUAAUAAAACUUAAAAAAACCAUAAACCCUAAAAAAAAUCUUAACCUAAAACCCGAAACCCUAAACCUUAAACCCUAUACCUUAGGGCCUAAACCCUAAACCUUUGGCCUUAACCCUAAACAUAAAGAAACCCUUAAAACACCUAAGAACCGUUUAAAACUCUAAACCUAGAAACCCUUCAGAAAUCAUAAGCAUAAACCCUUAAAAAACUCAAAAGAAAUAAUCGUUAAACCUAAAACCCUAAGCCCUAUACUCUAAACCAGGAAACCCUACCAUACUCUAAGAAACACUAAACACUAAGAAACUCUAAACCUUAAACCCUUAUAAGCGCUAAUACCUUAAAACCUAAGAUCCUAAACCCUAAACCCUAAGAAACCUUAUACCUAAGAAACCCUAAUACCCUAAACCCUAUGAAACCUUAAAAACCUUAAAAAAACACUAAACCUAUAUUCUCUAACAAAAAAAAAACCCCUUUUAAAACCCCUAAAAUCAUUAAACCUAAAACACAGUAAGCCCUACACCAUAAUUUACCCUAAAAUCAUUUUUAAAAAAUCCUAAACCCUAUGAAACCCUAAACCCUAAAAAUCACUAAGAAAACCUAAACCCUAAAAAUCACUAACAAAACCAAAACCUUAAAAAAAAACUUUAAAACUCCCAAACCUAAGGUAUCCUCAAUCCCAAAUUUUAAACCCUGAAUCAUUUACCCUAAGAAACCCUAAAUUGUAAGCCAAAAACCCAAACCCUAAACCCAAAAAAACAAUAAGAAAAACCUAAACCCUAAAAAAAUAACAAAAAAUACUUUAAAAACUCUAAACCUUAGAAACCUCUAAAAAAUCUUAAACGUCACAAAUAUAAACCCUAAACCCUAGAAAAACCCUAAACCUAAAACACUAAACCCUAAAUGACCCAAAAAAAACUAGGAGACCUUAAAUGUUAAACUCAAACCCUAAGAAACCUAAACCCUAAACUUUAGGGAUAAACCCCCAAGCCUAAUCCUUAUGAAACUCUAAGAAUCCCUAAAUACUAACAAAAACAAAACACUAAUGACCUUUAAAACCCUAAAACUAAAAAUCCCAAAAACAAACCUUACAAACCCUGAAAAAAUUCCAUAAUCUAAAACCCUAAGUCCUAAGCCCUUAGAACUCCUAAACCGUAAAAACAUUAAUGAUCCUUAAAAAUCUUUAAAAAUCCUAAGUCGAAAAAAAACUCAUAACCUAAAAAAAUCCAAGAAAAACUUAAGCUCUAAACCCUAACCUAAAAAUCUUUACCCAAAUACCUAAACUCUUAUUAAUCAUGUUCAGAUUAUACCAUUGUUCAAUAUGCUCUAUUUAGUUAUAUAUAUUUGUUCAGCUUUAUCCUAUCAUGCAUGCUCAGUACCUUUUAAGUACUGACACAUAUUCUAUGCUACAUCUACUCGGGAUGUAGGUACAGGUCCUCGACAUUCGGAUCAUGCGGAGAUCGGUUCCCGAUCCGUAUUCAGCAAUAUCAGUGGUGAGUCCUCGUUCUUCGAGGACGAUUGACAUGUUUUAUAUUCUGUCUUUCAUUUUAUUUUCAGUUUUGCUAAAGUUAGUUAGGGGCAUGUCCUAGCAUCUCUAGUAAGUUAGAGGCUUUUAUUCAGACAUUGUUUUUGUCACUCCCCGAGGUUACUCCCGUGACGUAACGCGGGACCUAGGAUCACAAGUAACCCCAAGCUAACCUUGAGUUGGCAUAUCAUAAGCAUAUUAGAUCAACACCUUAAAAAACCUUUACAAGCCUAAACCUAAGAAAUUUGAAAUCCCUAAGAAACCCUAAACCCUAAUAAACACUAAACCCUCAGCCUUAGGGAAACCCCUAAAACCCAAGACUUAUGAAACACCAACAAAUCCUAAACCCUAAGAAAUCCUAAACCAUAAAAACACCUUUAAAAACACUAAUCCUAAAAAAUCCAUUAAAUCCCCUAACCCCUAAAAAACCCUAAAUCUAAAAUCCUAAACCCUAAACUCAAAGAAAUCCUAAUCCCUAAGAACCCCUAAACCGUAGAAAAUUAUAAAAAUCUCGAAAAAACCUUUUAAAAUCCUAAACCGAAAAAAAACUCUAAACCUAAAAAUUCUACAAAAACUUAAGCCCUAAGCCUUAAACCUUAAAAACACUUAAAUUAAAAACUUAGACCUUCAACCCUAAACCUAAGAAACCCUAAAAGUUCAACUCUUUGACCAAAGAAACCCUGAACCUUAGGGCUAAACCCUAAGAGUCUACCUUAAGAAAUAAAAAAAAACCCUAAAAAACAUUUAAAACCGCUAAAUCCUAAACUUUUAAAAACCCUAAACCUUAUAAAAACCCUAAGCCCUAACAACCCCUUAAUCGUAAAAAUACCAUAAAUAUCCUAAACACCCUUUAAAACCCUAAACCUCAAAAUUCCUUUAAACCUAAUAAAACCCUAGAAAAUCUUAAUCCCAAAACCCUAAAUCCUAAAAACCCUUUAAAAAACCAAACCCUAAGAAAUCAUAAACGUUACAUCCUAUACCCUAAGAAACUCUAAAUCCUUAACUAUAAACCAUAGGGCUAAACCCUAAACCUAAAACAAUAUGAAACACAAAGAAAACCUAAACCCUAAAAUCCAUUAAAACCCCUAAUACUAUAAUACUCGGGGAAAUAUAUAAAUCACUUUAAAACCCUAAGCCUUAAAAAAAUCCUAUGCCCUAAAUCCUACGUAACCCUAAAUCUUAAGAAAUCCCAAUUCUUAAAAAACCCUAAGAAACCCUAAAACAUUUCAAAAAGCUAAUCAUAAAUAUAAUAAACCUAAAAAUGACCAUAAACCCUAAAAAAACUCUUAAGCUAAAACCCCAAACCCUAAACCCUAAACCCUAUACCUUAGGGCGUAAACCAUAAACCUUUGGCCUUAACCCUAAACAUAAAGAAACCCUUAAAAUCCCUAAAAACCCUUAAGAAAUCAUAAGCAUAAACCCUUAAAAAACUCAAAAAAAUUAUUUUUAUAGCUAAAACCCUAAGCCCUAAACUCUAUACCAUGAAACACUAUCAUACUCUAAGAAACACUAAGCCCUAAGAAACUCUAAACAUUAAACGCCUUAUAAACCCUAAUACCUUAAAACCUAAGAUCCUAAACCCUAAACCCUAAGAAACCUUAUACCUAAGAAACCCUAAUACCCUAAACCCUAUUAAACCUUAAAAACCUUUAAAAACUCUAAACCUAUAUUCUCAAAAAAAAAAAAACGCUUUUAAAACCCCUAAAAACCAUAAACCCAAAAAACAAUAAGCCCUACACCAUAAUUUACCCUAAAAUCAUUUUAAAAGAAUCCUAAACCCUAUAAAACCCUAAACCCUAAAAAUCACUAAGAAAACCUAAACCCUAAAAAUCACUAAGAAAACCAAAACCUUAAAAAAAAUCUUUAAAACCCUUAAACAUAAGGAACCCUAAAUCCCAAACUUUAAACCCUGAAUCCUUUACCCUAAGAAACCCUAAAUCGUAAACCAAAAACCCAAACUCUAAGAAAACCCCAAACCCUAAACCCAAAAAAACACUAAGAAAAACCUAAAUCCUAAAAAACAACACAAAACACUUUAAAAAUUCUAAACCUCAAAAACUUAACAAACAUAAACCCUAAACCCUAGAAAAACCCUAAACCUAAAACACUAAACCCUAAAAGACCCAAAGAAACCCUACGAAACCUAAACCCUAAACCUUAAUGAUAAAUCCCCAAGCCUAAUCCUUAUGAAACUCUAAGAAUCCCUAAAUACUAACAAAAACAAAACACUAAUAACCUUUAAAACUCUAAAACUAAAAAUCCCGAAAACAAACCUUACAAACCCUAAAAAAUUCCAUAAUCUAAAACCCUAAGUCCUAAGCCCUUAGAACUCCUAAACCGUAAAAACAUUAAUGAUUCUAAAAAAUCCUUAAAAAUCCUAAGUCAAAAAAAACUCUUAACCUAAAAAAAUCCAAGAAAAACUUAAGCUCUAAACCCUAAGAAAACCCCAAACCCUAAACCCAAAAAAGCACUAAGAAAAACCUAAACACGAAAAAACAACACAAAAAACUAUAAAAACCUAUAAAAAAUCUUAAACCUAACAAACAUAAACCCUAAACCCUAGAAAAACCACAAACCUAAAACACUAAACCCUAAAAGACCCAAAAAAAACUAGGAGACCUUAAAUGUUAAACUCAAACCCUAAGAAACCUAAACCCUAAACCUUAAUGAUAAACCCCCAAGCCUAAUCCUUAUGAAACUCUAAGAAUCCCUAAAUCCUAAGAAAAACAAAACACUAAAACCUUUAAAACUCUAAAACUAAAAAUCCCGAAAACAAACCUUACAAACCCUAAAAAAAUUCCAUAAUCUAAAACCCUAAGUCCUAAGUCCUUAGAACUCCUAAACCGUAAAAAAAUUAAUGAUCCUAAAAUAUCCUUAAAAAUCCUAAGUCAAAAAAAACUCUUAACCUAAAAAAUCCAAGAAAACUUAAGCUCUAAACCCUAACCUAAAAACCUUUACCCAAAUACCUAAACUCUUAUUAAUCAUGUUCAGAUUAUACCAUUGUUCAAUAUGCUCUAUUCAGUUAUAUAUAUUUGUUCAGCUUUAUCCUACCAUGCAUGCUCAGUACCUUUCAAGUCAUGACACAUACUCUAAGCCUAAUCCUUAUGAAACUCUAAACCUUAAACCCUUAUAAACCCUAAUACCUUAAAACCUAAGAUCCUAAACCCUAAACCCUAAGAAACCUUAUACCUAAGAAACCCUAAUACCCUAAACCCUAUUAAACCUUAAAAACCUUUAAAAACUCUAAACCUAUAUUCUCAAAAAAAAAAAAACGCUUUUAAAACCCCUAAAAACCAUAAACCCAAAAAACAAUAAGCCCUACACCAUAAUUUACCCUAAAAUCAUUUUAAAAGAACCCUAAACCCUAUGAAACCCUAAACACUAAAAAUCACUAAGAAAACCUAAACCCUAAAAAUCACUAAGAAAACCAAAACCUUAAAAAAACACAUUAAAUCCCCUAAACCUAAGGAACCUUAAAUCCCAAUCAUUAAACCCUGAAUCCUUUACCCCUAAAUCAUAGGCCAAAAACCCAAACUCUGAGAAAACCCCAAACCCUAAACCCAAAAAAACACUAAGAAAAACCUGAACCCUAAAAAACAACACAAAAAACUAUAAAAACUCUAAACCCUAAAAACCUCUAAAAAAUCAUAAACCUAACAAACACAAACCCUAAACCCUAGAAAACCCCUAAACCUAAAACACUAAACCCUAAAAAAUCGGAAAAAAAAACUAGGAGACCUUAAAUGUUAAACUCAAACCCUAAGAAACCUAAACCCUAAACCUUACGGAUAAACCCCCAAGCCUAAUCCUUAUGAAAACUCAAAGAAGCCCUAAAUCCUAAGAAAAACAAAACAAUAAAAACCUUUAAAACUCUAAAACUAAAAAUCCCGAAAACAAAUCUUACCAACCCUAAAAAUAUUCCAUAAUCUAAAACCCUAAUUCCAAAGCCCUUAAAACUCCUAAACCGUAAAAACAUUAAUGAUCCUAAAAAACCCUUAAAAAUCCUAAGUCGAAAAAAACUCUUAACCUAAAAAAAUCCAAGAAAAACAUAAGCUCUAAACCGUAACCUAUAAGCCUUUACCCAAAUACCCAAACUCCAAACUCUUAUUAAUCAUGAUCAGAUUAUACCAUUGUUCAAUAUGCUCUAUUCAGUUAUAUAUAUUUGUUCUGCUUUAUCCUAUCAUGCAUGCUCAGUACCAUUCAAGUACUGACACAUUCUCUACGCUACAUCUUCUCGUGAUGUAGGUACAGGUCCUCGACAUUCGGAUCAUGUGGAUAUCGGUUCCCGAUCCGUAUUCAGUCAUAUCAGUGGUGAGUCCUCGUUCUUCGAGGACGAUUGACAUGUUUUAUAUUCUGUCUUUCAUUUUAUUUAGUUUUGCUAGAGUUAGUUGGGGGCAUGUCCCAGUAUCUCUAGUAAGUUAGAGGCUUUGAUUCAGACAUUGUUUUUGUCACUCCCCGAGGUUACUCCCAAGACGUAACGCGGGACUUAGGAUCACGAGUAACCCCAAGCUAACCUUGAGUUGGCAUAUCAUAAGCAUAUUAGAUCAACACCUUAAAAAACCUUUAGUAACCUAAACCUAAGAAAUUUGAAACACCUAAGAAAUCCUAAACACUAAACCCUUAGCCUUAGGGAAACCCCUAAACCCCAAGACCUAUGAAACACCAACAAACCCUAAACCCUAAGAAAUCCUAAACCCUAAAAACACCUUUAAAUACAGUAAACUUAAAAAUCCCCUUGAAACCCCUUACCCCUAAAAAACCCCAAAUCUAAAAUCCUAAGCACAAAACUCAAAGAAAUCAUAAUCCCUAAGAACCCCUAAACCAUAGAAAAUUAUAAAAAUCUUGAAAACCCUUUUAAAAUCCUAGAUCGAAAAAAAAUUCUAAAUCUAAAAAUUUUUGCAAAAGCUUAAGCCCUAAGCCUUAAACCUUAAAAUCCCUUGAAUAAAAAACUUAGACCUUCAACCCUAAAUCCUAAGAAACCCUAAAUGCUCAACUCUAUGCCCAAAGAAACCUUAAACCUUAGGGCUAAACCCUAAGAGUCUACCUAAAGAAAUAAAAAAAACACUAAAAAACACAAAAAAGCCCUAAACCCUAAACUUUUAAAAACCCUGAACCUUAUAAAAACCCUAAACUCUAAGAACCCCUUAAUCGUAAAAAAACCAUAAAUGUCCUAAACAUCCUUUAAAACCCUAAACCUAAAAAUUGCUCUAAACCUAAUAAAACCGUAGAAAAUCUUAAGGCCAAAACCCUAAUAAAAAAAACCUAACCCUAAGAAAUCCUAUACCCUAAGAAACUGUAAAUCCUUAAAUCUAAACCAUAGAGCUAACCUCUAUACCUCAAACCAUAUGAAACACUAAGAAAUCCUAAACCCUAUGAAAACCUAAACCCUAAAAUCCAGUAAAAUCCCUAAAACUAUAAUACUCAGGGUAAAAAAUAAAUCCCUUUAAAACCCUAAGCCUUAAAAAAAUCCAAUGUCCUAAAUCCUAAACACUAAACCAUAGGGCUAAACCCUAAACCUUAAACCAUAUGAAACACUAAGAAAUCCUAAACCCUAAAAUCCAUUAAAACCCCUAAAACUAUAAUAGUUGGGGGAAAAAUAAAUACCUUUAAAACCCUAGGCCUUAAAAAAAUCCUACGCCCUAAAUCCUGCGUAACCCUAAAUCUUAAGAAAUCCAAAUUCUGAAAAAACCCUAAGAAACCCUAAAACAUUUAAAAAGCCUAAUCAUAAAAAUAAUAAACCUUAAAAAACCAAAAACCCUAAAAAAAACUCUUAACCUAAAACACGAAAACCUAAACAUUAAACCUUAUACCUUAGGGCCUAAACGCUAAACCUUUGGACUUAACCCUAAACAUAAAGAAACCCCUAAAAACCUUUUAAAACUCUAAACCUAAAAACCCUUAAGAAAUCAAAAGCAUAAGCCCUUAAAAAACUCAAAAAAAAUAAUCUUUAAAUGUAAAACCCUAAGCCCUAAACUCUAAACCAGGAAACCCUAGCAUAUUCUAAGAAACACUAAACCCUAAGGAACUCUAAACUUUAAACCCUUAUAAACACUAAUACCUUAAAAUCUAAGAUCCUAAUUACUAAACCCUAAGAAACCUUAUACCUAAGAAACCCUAAUAAACUAAACACUAUAAAACCUUUAAAAACUCUAAACCUAUAUUCUCUGGAAAAAAAACCGUUUUAAAACCCCUAAAAACCUUAAACCUAAAAAAAUAGUAAGCCCUACACCAUAAUUUACCCUAAAAUCAUUUUUAAAAGAAUCCUAAUCCCUAUGAAACCCUAAACCCUAAAAAUCACUAAGUAAACCUAAACACUAAAAAUCACUAAGAAAACCAAAACGUUAAAAAAAUACUUUAAAACCCCUAAACCUAAGGAACCCUAAAUCCCAAACUUUAAACCCUGAAUCCUUUACCCUAAGAAACCCUAAAUCGUAAGCCAAAAACCCAAACUCUAAGAAAGCCCCAAACCCUAAACCCAAAAAAACACUAAGAAAAAUCUAAACCCUAAAAAACAACAAAAACAACUUUAGAAAUUCUAAACCUAAAAAACCUCUAAAAAAUCUUAAACGUCACAAAUAUAAACCCUAGAAAAACCCUAAACCUAAAACACUAAACCCUAAACCCUAAAAGACCCACAAAAAAAAACUUAGGAGACCUUAAAUGUUAAACUCAAACCCUAAGAAACCUAAACCCUAAACCUUAGGGAUAAACCCCCAAGCCUAAUACUUAUGAAACUCUAAGAAGCCCUAAAUCCUAAGAAAAACAAAACACUAAAAACCUAUAAAACCCUAAAACUAAAAUUCCCGAAAACAAACCUUACGAACCCUAAAAAAAUUACAUAAUCUAAAACCCUAAGUCCUAAGCCCUUAGAACUCCUAAACCGUAAAAAAUUAAUGAUCCUUAAAAAUCCUUAAAUAUCCUCAGUCGAAAAAAAUACUUAACCUAAAAAAAUUCAAUAAACACCUAAGCUCUAAACCCUAACUUAAAAACCUUUACCCAAAUACCUAAGCUUUUAUUCAUCAUGUUCAGAUUAUACCAUUGUUCAAUAUGCUCUAUUCAAUUUUAUAUAUUUGUUCAGCUUUAUCCUAUCAUGCAUGCUCAAUACCUUUCAAGUACUGACACAUACUCUACGCUACAUCUUCUCGAGAUGUAGAUACAGGUCCUCGGCAUUCGGAUCAUACGGAGAUUGGUUCCCGAUCCGAAUUCAGCAAUAUCAGUGAUGAGUCCUCGUUCCUCGAGGACGAUUGAAAUGUUUUAUAUUCAGUCUUUAAUUUUAUUUUCAGUUUUGCUAUAGUUAGUUAGGGGCAUGUCCCAGCAUCUCUAGUAAGUUAGACGCUUUGAUUUAGACAUUGUUUUUGUCACUCCCCGUGGUUACUCCCGCGACGUAACGUGGGACCUAGGAUCACUAGUAACCCCAAGCUAACCUUGAGUUGGCAUAUCAUAAGCAUAUUAGAUCAACACCUUAAAAAACCUUUAGAAGCCUAAACCUAAGAAAUUUGACACCCCUAAGAAACCCUUAAUCAUAAACCUUAAACCCUAAGAAACACUAAACCCUCAGCCUUAGGGAAACCCCUAAACCACAAGACUUAUGAAUCACCAACAAACCCUAAACCCUAAGAAAUCCUAAACCAUAAAAACACCUUUAAAAACACUAAACCUUAAAAAACCCUUAAAACCCUAACCCCUAAAAAACCCUAAAUCUAAAAUCCUAAUCCCUUAGAACCCCUAAACCGUAGAAAAUUAUAAAAAUCCUAAAUGCUAAAUCCUAUACCCUAAGAAACUCUAAAUCCUUAACUCUAAACCAUAAGGCUAAACCCUAAACCUCAAACCAUAUGAAACACUAAGAAAUCCUAAACCCUAAAACCCAUUAAAACCCCUAAAACUAUAAUAGUUGGUGGAAAAAUUAAAUCCCUAAGCCUUAAAAAAAUCCUAUGCCCUAAAUCCUACUUAACCCUAAAUCUUCAGAAAUCCAAAUUCUUAAAAAACCCAAAAACAUUUAAAAACCCUAAUCAUAAAAAUAAUAAACCUAAAAAAACCAUAAACCCUAAAAGAAACUUUUAACCUAAAACCCGAAACCCAAAACCUUAAACCCUAUACCUUAGGGCCUAAACACUAAACCUUUAGCCUUAACCCUAAUCAUAAAGAAACCCUUAAAAACCCCUAAAAACCUUUUAAAACUAUAAACCUAAAAACCUUUAAGAAAACAGAAGCAUAAACCCUUAAAAAACUCAAAAAAAAUAAUCUUUAAACCUAAAACCCAGAGCCCUAAACUCUAAACCAGGAAACCCUAGCAUACUCUAAGAAACACUAAACCCUAAGAAACUCUAAACCUUAAACCCUUAUAAACCCUAAUACCUUAAAACCAAAGAUCCUAAACCCUAAACCCUAAGCCCUAAGUACCCCUUAAUCGUAAAAAACCAUAAAUAUCAUAAACACCCUUUAAAAUCCUAAACUUAAAAAUUCCUCUAAACCUAAUAAAACCCUAGAAAAUCUUAAGCUCAAAACCCUAAAUCCUAAAAACCCUUAAAAAACCAAACCCUAAGAAAUCCUAAAUGCUAAAUCCUAUACCCUAAAAAACUCUAAAUCCUUAACUCUAAACCAUAGGGCUAAACCCUAAACCUCAAACCAUAUGAAACACUAAGAAAGCCUAAACCCUAAAAUCCAUUAAAAUCCCUAAUACUAUAAUACUCGGGGAAAUAUAUAAAUCCCUUUAAAACCCUAAGCCUUAAAAAAAUCCUAGGCCUUAAAUCCUACGUAACCCUAAAUCUUAAGAAAUCCAAAUUCUUAAAAAACCCAAAAACAUUUAAAAACCCUAAUCAUAAAAAUAAUAAACCUAAAAAAACCAUAAACCCUAAAAGAAACUCUUAACCUAAAACACGAAACCCUAAACCUUAAACCCUAUACCUUAGUGCCUAAACACUAAACCUUUGGCCUUAACCCUAAACAUAAAGAAACCCUUAAAAAAUCCCUAAAACCCAUUUAAAACUCUAAACCUAAAAACCUUUAAGAAAUCAGAAGCAUAAUCCCUUAAAAAACUCAAAAAAAAAAAUCUUUAAACCUAAAACCCUGAGCCCUAAACUCUAAACCAGGAAACCCUAGCAUUCUCUAAGAAACACUAAACCCUAAGAAAAUCUAAACCUUAAACCCUUAUAAACCCUAAUACCUUAAAAGCUAAGAUCCUAAACCCUAAACCCUAAGAAACCUUAUACCUAAGAAACCAUAAUACCCUAAACCCUAUGAAACCUUAUACCAAAGAAACCAUAAUACCCUAAACCCUAUGAAACCUUAAAAACCUUUAAAAACUCUAAACCUAUAUUCUCUAAAAAAAAAAAAAAAACCCUUUUAUAACCCCUAAAAUCCUUAAACCUAAAAAAACCUAAAAAAAUAGUAAGCCCUACACCAUAAUUUACCCAAAACUCAUUUUUUUAACAACACAAAACCCUAAAAAUCACUAAGAAAGCCUAAACCCAAAAAAUCAGUAAGAAAGCCAAAACCUUAAAAAAAACCUUUAAAAAAAAACUUUAAAACCCCUAAACCUAAGGAACCCUAAAUCCCAAACUUUAAAUCCUGAAUCCUUUAACCUAAGAAACCCUAAAUCGUAAGCCAAAAAACCAAAACUCUAAGAAAACCCCAAACCCUAAACCCAAAAAAACACUAAGAAAAACCUAAACCCUAAAAAACAACAAAAAUAACUUUAAAAACUAUAAAUCUAAAAACCUCUAAAAAAUCUUAAACUUAACAAACCUAAACCCUAGAAAAACCCUAAACCUAAAACACUAAAACCUAAACCCUAAAAGACCCCAAAAAAAAAACUUAGGAGACCUUAAAUGUUAAACUCAAACACUAAGAAACCUAAACCCACAACCUUAGGGAUAAACCCCCAAGCCUAAUCCUUAUGAAACUCUAAGAAGCCCUAAAUCCUAAGAAAAACAAAACACUAAAAACCUUUAAAACCCUAAAACUAAAAAUCCCGAAAACAAACCUUACGAACCCUAAAAAAAUUCCAUAAUCUAAAACCCUAAGUCCUAAGCCCUUAGAACUCCUAAACCGUAAAAACAUUAAUGAUCCUAAAAAAUCCUUCAAAUUCCUAUGUCAAAAAAAACACUUCACCUAAAAAAAUUCAAGAAAAACUUAAGCUCUAAACCCUAACAUAAAAACCUUUACCCAAAUACCUAAACUCGUAUUCAUCAUGUUCAGAUUAUACCAUUGUUCAAUAUGCUCUAUUCAGUUAUAUAUAUUUGUUCAGCUUUAUCCUAUCAUGCAUGCUCAGUACCUUUCAAGUACUGACACAUACUCUACGCUACAUCUUCUCGGGAUGUGGGUACAGGUCCUUGGCAUUCGGAUCAUGCGGAGAUCAGCUCCCGAUCCGUAUUCAGCAAUAUCAGUGGUGAGUCCUCGUUCUUCGUCCUGAUCCAAAUUCAGCAAUAUCAGUGAUGAGUCCUCGUUCUUCGAGGACGAUUGACAUGUUUUGUAUUCAAUCUUUCAUUUUAUUUUCAAUUUUGCUAUAGUUAGUUGGGGGCAUGUCCCAGCAUAUCUAGUAAGUUAGACGCUUUUAUUCAGACAUUGUUUUUGUCACUGCCCGAGGUUACUCCCGCGACGUUACGCGGGACCUAGGAUCACGAGUAACCCCAAGCUAACCUUGAGUUGGCAUAUCAUAAGCAUAUUAGAUCAACACCUUAAAAAACCUUUAGAAGCCUAAACCUAAGAAAUUUGAAACCCCUAAGAAACCCUUAACCAUA
This 12791-nucleotide long non-coding RNA is filed under the name Solanum tuberosum (potato). RNAcentral describes it as "long non-coding RNA (STUB_LNC000504)". The record is from RNAcentral. Lineage: Eukaryota; Viridiplantae; Streptophyta; Magnoliopsida; Solanales; Solanaceae.